This 4943-nucleotide long non-coding RNA is filed under the name Brassica rapa (field mustard). RNAcentral's name for it is "long non-coding RNA (BRAP_LNC004721)". Lineage: Eukaryota; Viridiplantae; Streptophyta; Magnoliopsida; Brassicales; Brassicaceae. The record is from RNAcentral.
CUUCAAUAUUCUGUCAAAAUGCCAUUUUCUUUCUUUAAUUUCCUUGCUUGGUCCCAUAUCUUGAUUCUCAAAAUGAACACACCAUCAUUUUUCAUGGCCAUUUGGUCCUCCAAUUAACACACACCAAACACCAAAACAUACCUUCUUUCUCUGUGUGUGUGGUAUGUCUAUAUAUCACUCCCACCAUCAAAUGCUGAGAAGGUGUAUUUCACACAAGAGUCAUAACUCUCAUCAACUAGAAAUUUCCCAAAACCAUAUUGCGUCUACUCUUUAUAGAAUCACAAACUCAAUAAUAAGAAGUCCUUCUCUUAUUCAAUCAAUCACAAAUCAUAAAGUCACACCUUAUGCAUCACAAUAUGCAUUCAUAUAUAUAGGGACUAACAAUUUCCUAUUCCCAUUAUAUUUCCUAAUCCUUAAGAUAAACACAACAUAGAAAAGGAAACUUUCAUCACAAGUAUUAUUCAAGCUUAUCCAACAUUCUCCCUCUUAAGCUUGAUGCCAUCUUCACUCACAUCUUGUACUCCAAUAAGCUUUCUCAUUUCCUUAAACUUUAUUCUUCCAAGCGACUUCGUAAGGAUAUCAGCUUUCUGUUCACUACCCGGGACAUGUUCAACUUCAACUUGUUCCUUUUCAACACACUCUCUUAUGAAGUGAAACCUCCUGUGUAUGUGUUUACUUCGUCCAUGGAACACUGGGUUCUUUGUAAGUGCAAUAGCAGACUUGUUAUCAACCAUGAUGACCACCGGUUUACUUUCGCUUCCAACGGCUUCACUUAGCAACUCCUGAAGCCAGAUAGCCUGCUUUGCUGCCUCAGUUGCAGCCAUAAAUUCAGCCUCGCAUGACGACAAUGCUACUAUCUCCUGCUUCGUUGAGCUCCAUGUAAUGGGACUCUCCCCAAGAUAGAAUAUGUGUCCUGAAGUGCUUUUGCCGUCGUCUGUAUCCACAUUGUGGGAGCUGUCACUAUAACCUACCAGCUUAGCUCCGCUUUGUCGUGAGUAGUGAAGCCCAAGAGAACAAGUUCCUCGCAGAUACCUAAGGAUCUGUUUCAUAGCUGCUGCAUGAGAGGCUUUAGGUUCGUGCAUAUAUCUGCUCAAAACCCCAACGCUAUAUGAUAAAUCUGGUCGCGUAUGUAGCAGGUAGCGUAGGCACCCAAUGCUCCGACGAUACUCUUUUGCAUCAGCCUUUUCUUCCUUAGGAGCUUUGGAGAACAUCGCAUUUAACUCCAAUGGUACUUGAGUCGGAUUGCAUGAGCUCAUGCCAGUUUCUUCGAGUAUUUUGCGAGCAUACCUAUCUUGUUUGAGUAAGAUUCCUCCUUCAUAUUGUAUAACCUCAAUACCCAAAUAGUAUGUCAACCUUCCGAGGUCACUCAUCUCAAACUUUGUAGCCAUCUCACGUUUGAAUUCAAGUAUCGCAUCAAGGGAGGUACCAGUAACCAGCAGGUCAUCAACAUAGACCACCACGACAAGAACUUCUCGACUUUCUUCCUUCCGAUAGAGUGAGGGCUCUUUCGAGCAUCUUGUGAACCGCAAGCUGCGCAAUAUCUCAUUAAGCUUUAUAUUCCAAGCUCUUGGUGCUUGUCGUAGACCGUAGAGAGCUUUCUUAAGCUUGUAAACCUUGUGUUCUUGUCCAUCAACGAUGAAACCCUCUGGUUGAGUAACAUAAACCUCUUCCUUUAGUUCUCCGUGCAAGAAAGCAGUUUUUACAUCAAGGUGGUGUAUUUCCCAACCGUGUGAUCCAGCCAAAGCAAUGAUCAUCCUAAUAGUUUCAAUGCGAGCCACCGGAGCAAAUACUUCUUCAUAAUCCACACCAUGCCGUUGAACGUAACCUUUGGCUACUAGUCGUGCCUUAUACUUACUUAUUGUUCCAUCAGCAUUACGUUUGAUCUUGAACACCCACUUAAGGCCGAUAGGUUUGAUUCCUGUAGGUAGUUCCACGAGAUCCCAGGUUUUAUUUUUUUCAAUAGAUACGAUCUCAUCUUUGCAAGCAUCAACCCAAACUUUCAGUUCCUUAGCAUCGCUGAAACUCCAUGGUUCCUCAUUUAUGAGCAUCAACAAUUGCUCACCCUCAAGUUCUGCGAGCAGAACAUAGUCAUCGAGGUAGGUUGGUUUGUUAGAAACCCUCGUUGAUCGUCUUGGCUGAAAGUCGUUUUCAUCGUCACCCCCAACUUGAUUUUCAUCAUCAUGAUUAUCAAGAGCUUCAUGAUAAUCAUUAUUGUCGUGAUUAUCAUCAUCUGUAUCAGAUGAAGCUUCGAGUUCGUGAUCAUCUUGGCCCAAGCCUUUCACGGUGAGCUCAAAGCCCUCACUAUCGAGUCUCGUUGUCACACUUUUAUCACUCCAUCUCCAUCGCAUUGCUUCUUCGAACACAACAUCACGACUUAUGACAAUUCUCAAGCUCAGGGGAUCAAGUAGUCGGUAUGCUUUAGACCCCGGCUCUGUUCCGAGAUGGACCAGAACUCUGGAUCUAUCGUCGAGCUUCUUUCUUCCAACCGUUUCUGUCCUUGCGUAGCACACGCACCCGAACACUCUUAGGUGAGACAGGUUUGGUUUUCUUCCUUUCAUCACUUCGUACGGAGUUUGUCCUUCCAAGGACCUCGUUGUAACCCUAUUAAUCAGAUAGGUUGCAUGUCGUAUGGCUUCUCCCCAGAGAUGAUUCGGCAUGUCCAUAUGUUUUAGGAUACUUCUAGUCAUCUCCAAGAGUGUUCGAUUUCGUCGCUCAACUACACCGUUUUGCUGAGGUGAAUAUGGCGCAGUCAUGUGUCGCUUAACACCAUGUUUCUCGCAGUAGGUUUGGAAUUCGUUGGAUGUGAACUCACCCCCCCUAUCUGUUCGUAAUGUCAUUAACUUAGUAUGUGUUUCUUGCUCCACAAGGUUCUUGAAGCGCUUAAAUUUCUCAAAGGCUUCACUUUUGACCUUUAAUAGUACUGUCCACAUAUAGCGAGAGUGAUCGUCAAUAAGAACAAAGACGUAUCUGUUGAGUGCUGGUGUCGUCGGGGAGAUAGGUCCACAAAGAUCCGCAUGUACGAGUUCAAGAAGUGAUGAAGCUCGAUAGCUCGUUGCUUGUGGGAACGGUUUUCGUGUUUGUUUCCCGCGCAGACAAGAUACACAAGCUUCUGUGUCGCGUUUGAUGUUCGGUAAUCCCUCGACAUACUCCUUGCUAGCCAUCAUUCUCAUUGUAUCUUUGUUGAUAUGUCCCAAGCGCGCAUGCCAUAAGUUUCCGUCUCCAAGGCUCUUAACCUGAAGACACUGCUGCAUUUUAUCAACCUGUAAUGUAACCUUAUAUAAUCGAUUCUUUGUCCUUGUAGUCUUGAUCAUCAACUGUCCUUCACGAUCGAAUAAAGUUAGAACGUCUUCUUUCAUUCGAACUUCACAACCCACUUCAGUAGCUUGACCCAAGCUAACAAUAUUACUUCGAAGAGCCGGUAUGUAGUAGACGUUAUUUAACAUCUUUUUCACGCCUCCUUUGCUGAUAAAUCGAAUGGAACCUUUACCCAUUAUGUCAAUCCUUGAAUCAUCGCCAAAACGUACUUUCCCAGUGAUAGUAUCAUCUAGUUCGUAGAAGAACAUACGAUUACCACUCAUGUGAUUACUGGCUCCAUUAUCAAGAUACCACACAUCUAUCGUAUCUGUAUCAGCUUCAAACUUCUUUGGAUCUACCUUCUUCUCGUUUAAGUAAACUACUUCAUUCAUCAUGAGGGUAUCCGCCUCGUGUGUAUCAUCAUCUUUCUUCUCUACAGUUUCUUGAAGCUUUAGAGCUUUAUCGGGACAGUCUGUGGCGUAAUGUCCAGUUUUAUCACAUUUAAAGCAAGUGAUAUGAGAGAGAUCUCCACCACGUCCUUGUCUAUACGCUUCUCGUUGUUGUAAGAAAGUUGUGCGACCGCGGCCUCUUCCUCUCCAGUUUGAUCGACCGCUGCGUCCUCGACCACGGUUAUUGUAGCCGUAAGUUUCGCCGCUUGAAUCUGAGUUAGCAUACAUUAGCUUCCCGGAGCUGUCAUCGGUUUCUUCUUCCUCUUCAGUGACUCUUUCUUCGUACGCCUUAAGUCGUCCUACAAUGUCCUCAAAGCUCGUUGAGUUAAGGUCAAGAACUUGCUCAAGCGAAGCUACAAUAUGAAUAAAUUUUUUUCUUGGCAAGCUCUUUAAGAAUUUCUUAACAAGCUUUGGUUCUUCUAUCAUCUCUCCCAAAGAAGCAGAUUUAGAAGAAAUUUCGGAUAUCUUGCCAACGAAGGUAUCGAUUGUAUCUUCAUCUUUCAUCUUGAGUCUAUCGAAAUCCGCCAUCAAAGUUUGUAACCUAGCUUCUUUUACCCUCUCAGCUCCAACAUAUCGUGCCUUUAUCGCAUCCCAUACUGCCUUUGCUGUAUCUAAGUCGCCUACUUGUAAGAUCAAGGCCUCCGGUAUGGACUGGAACAGGUAUGCGAUGGCCAUGUUAUUCUUUUUUUCAUCCUUAGCUCCAGGUUCUAUAGCUUCCCAAACUUCACUAACUUUAAGCGCUAUCUUCAUUCUCAUGGACCAGACCGUGUAGUUCGAGGAAGUUAACAUUGGAAAUUUGAUGGUGGCUGGUCCGGUUUCUUUGGUCGUCGCGAUCUCUUCUUUGACGUCGGCCAUGGCUGUGUAAGAUUGUCGAGGUGCUUAUUAAGCUCUGAUACCAAAUAUAGAAUCACAAACUCAAUAAUAAGAAGUCCUUCUCUUAUUCAAUCAAUCACAAAUCAUAAAGUCACACCUUAUGCAUCACAAUAUGCAUUCAUAUAUAUAGGGACUAACAAUUUCCUAUUCCCAUUAUAUUUCCUAAUCCUUAAGAUAAACACAACAUAGAAAAGGAAACUUUCAUCACAAGUAUUAUUCAAGCUUAUCCAACACUCUUCUUCUUCUUUAUGUUGGAUAUCGAAUCUGUUUCCGUUCAAAAGAAACAAACCAUGAGCAUUAUUUCUUCCACAAAAACCCAAUGUUUAC